CCUGGGAAUGGCGUUUUGAACUGGCAGUCUAGAGUGCGUCAGAGGGGGGUGGAAUUCCACGUGUAGCAGUGAAAUGCGUAGAGAUGUGGAGGAACACCGAUGGCGAAGGCAGCCCCCUGGGAUGACACUGACGCUCAUGUACGAAAGCGUGGGUAGCAAACAGGAUUAGAUACCCUGGUAGUCCACGCCCUAAACGAUGUCAACUGGUUGUUGGGGGAGUGAAAUCCCUUUAGUAACGAAGCUAACGCGUGAAGUUGACCGCCUGGGGAGUACGGUCGCAAGAUUAAAACUCAAAGGAAUUGACGCGGACCCGCACAAGCGGUGGAUGAUGUGGAUUAAUUCGAUGCAACGCGAAAAACCUUACCUACCCUUGACAUGUCCGGAAUCCUGCAGAGAUGCGGGAGUGCCCGAAAGGGAAUCGGAACACAGGUGCUGCAUGGCUGUCGUCAGCUCGUGUCGCGAGAUGUUGGGUUAAGUCCCGCAACGAGCGCAACCCUUAUCAUUAGUUGCUACGCAAGGGCACUCUAAUGAGACUGCCGGUGACAAACCGGACGAAGGUGGGGAUGACGUCAAGUCCUCAUGGCCCUUAUGGGUAGGGCUUCACACGUCAUACAAUGGUCGGUACAGAGGGUUGCCAAGCCGCGAGGUGGAGCCAAUCCCAGAAAGCCGAUCGUAGUCCGGAUUGUUCUCUGCAACUCGAGAGCAUGAAGUCGGAAUCGCUAGUAAUCGCGGAUCAGCAUGUCGCGGUGAAUACGUUCCCGGGUCUUGUACACACCGCCCGUCCCCCCCAUGGGAACUGGAGAGAG
This 806-nucleotide ribosomal RNA is filed under the name uncultured beta proteobacterium. RNAcentral describes it as "bacterial SSU rRNA". It matches the Rfam family "Bacterial small subunit ribosomal RNA", at positions 613 to 1420 of the family's 1533-position model. Lineage: Bacteria; Pseudomonadati; Pseudomonadota; Betaproteobacteria. The record is from RNAcentral.